UGUUGCUGCGCCAUGAUGUGAGAGCUUAGCUUCUGCUGCUCCUGGUCCAGCCACCUCCAGCCACCAUGCCUCCUGGCCAUGAAGGACUGUAAUUUCCCUGGAACCCCAGAGUCCACGUUGUUUACACCACACUAUCGCCCUCAGGUGUCUAGAUAACACUGACUGCUGGCCUAGAGGUCACUUCCGCAGAUGAAGCAAACCCCGGAGCAGGAGCAGCCAAGCUUAGGACAGUGGCGUUCACAGGGCAGCCGGGGGCUCUGCAGGCAUCUUUCCCAGGCUCAGCACGGAGGAAAGCAGACAAAAUCGGCAUUUAUUUGGGGUGGUCCCUCAAGUAACCUGCGAGUGGGAGGAUCGAGUGGCACCCGACAAGUCCCAGCAGCUGCGACUUCCAGCUGCUCUGCUCGCCUGGUUCCCGGCACCCACAGUUCGGCUCCGGGGUAGCGGUGGGAGGCCGGGCUUCAGCGGCCGGACAGAGUGGGAGCCAGUGCGGGGAGGGCAGCCCGGCGGCCUGGAGCUGGACGUGUCCGGAUCGUCCCCUGCAGACAGGGGCUGCAGGUCGUCCGGGGGCCGACCAUGCUGGUGACCGUCUACCUGUCUUUUGUGGGCCUCCUGGCCUCCUGCCUGGGCCUGGAGCUGUCAAGACGCCGGGCUAAGCCCCCUGGAAGGGCUUGCAGCAAUGCGUCCUUCCUUCAGUUUCAACUAGACUUCUACCAGGUCUACUUCCUGGCCCUGGCAGCUAACUGGCUCCAAGCCACCUACCUGCAUAAACUCUAUCAACAUUACCACUUCUUGGAGGGUCAAAUCGCUAUCCUCUACGUUUGUGGCCUCGCCUCCACGUUCCUCUUUGGCCUUGUGGCCUCUUCCCUUGUGGACUGGCUGGGUCGUAAGAAGUCUGGUGUCCUCUUCUCCCUCACUCACUCUCUGUGCUGCUUGACCAAACUCUCUCAAGACUUCUUUGUGCUGCUCGGAGGCCAAGCCCUGGUGGGCUGUCCACCGCCCUCUUCUUCUCAGCCUUUGAGGCCGGGUACGUCCAUGAGCACGUGGAACAUGCCGAGUGGAUCCCAGCCACCUUUGCCCGGGCUGCCUUCUGGAACCAUGUGCUGGCUGUGGCGGCAGGUGUUGCUGCUGAGGCCGUGGCUAGCUGGAUGGGACUGGGACCCGUAGCACCCUUUGUGGCCGCCACCCCUCUGCUGGCUCUGACUGGGGUCUUGGCCCUUUGAAACUGGGAAGAGAACUAUGACAGGCAGCAGGCCUUCUCCAGGACCUGUGCUGGAGGCCUGCGCUGCCUCCUGUCUGACCGCCGAGUGCUGCUGCUGGGCACCAUACAGGCCCUGUUUGAGAGUGUCAUCUUCAUAUUUGUCUUCCUCUGGACACCUGUGCUGGACCCACAUGGGACCCCACUGGGCAUUGUCUUCUCUAGCUUCAUGGCUGCCAGCCUUCUGGGUUCUUCCCUGUACCUCACUGCUGCCUCCAAGAGGUACCACCGUCAACCCAUGAACCUGCUUGUCCCUUGCUGUUCUCAUCAUUGUCUUCUCUCUCUUCAUGUUGACUUUCUCCACCAGCCCAGGCCGGGAGGGUCCUGUGGAAUCCUUCAUCGCCUUUCUACUUAUCGAGCUGGCCUGUGGUCUCUACUUUCCCAGCAUGAGCUUCCUGCGGAGAAAGGUGAUCCCUGAGACAGAGCAGGCUGGGUACGCAACUGGUUCCGGGUGUCCCUGCACUUACUAGCCCACUUAGGGCGUCUUGUCCUCCAAGACAGUGAUCGGAAAACAGGCACUCGGAACAUGUUCAGCAGCUGCUCUGCUGUCAUGCUGAUGGCUUUGCUGGCAGUGGUGGGACUCUUCACUGUGGUGAGGCACGAUGCUGAGUUCCCUUCACCCACUGGGAAGCCCUAUGCCCCUGAGCUCUGA
RNA transcript from Nannospalax galili (Upper Galilee mountains blind mole rat), 1907 nucleotides. It is a transcript of the gene named molybdate-anion transporter-like, with no coding region annotated. Lineage: Eukaryota; Metazoa; Chordata; Mammalia; Rodentia; Spalacidae. The transcript has a single exon. The record is from RefSeq and is a predicted model, not a curated record.